CGAGUUUGAUCCUGGCUCAGGAUGAACGCUAGCGGUAUGCUUAACACAUGCAAGUCGUACGGAAAAGUAAUUUUUAGUGGCGAACGGGUGAGUAACACGUGAGAAUCUGCCUUUAGGAAGAGGAUAACAUUUAGAAACAUUUGCUAAUACUCUAUAUGCUUUACAGUGAAAGAAUUUAUUCGCCUAAAGAGGAGCUCGCGUCUGAUUAGCUAGUUGGUGGGGUAAAGGCCUACCAAGGCGACGAUCAGUAGUUGGUCUGAGAGGACGGCCAGCCACAUUGGAACUGAGACACGGUCCAGACUCUUACGGGAGGCAGCAGUGAGGAAUUUUCUACAAUGGACGAAAGUCUGAUAGAGCAAUACCGCGUGAGGGAUGACUGCCUACGGGUUGUAAACCUCUUUUCUCAAGGAGGAAGAUAUGACGUUACUUGAGGAAUAAGCAUCGGCUAACCCUGUGCCAGCAGCCGCGGUAAUACAGGGGAUGCAAGUGUUAUCCGGAAUUAUUGGGCGUAAAGCGUCUGCAGGUUGAUCUACAAGUCUUUUGUUAAAUUUUCAGGCUUAACCUGAAGUCAGCAAAAGAAACUGUUUAUCUUGAGUAUGGUAGAGGUAAGGGGAAUUUCCAGUGGGGCGGUGAAAUGCGUAGAUAUUGGAAAGAACACCAACAGCGAAGGCACCUUACUGGGCCAUUACUGACACUCAGAGACGAAAGCUAGGGUAGCAAACGGGAUUAGAUACCCCGGUAGUCCUAGCCG
Molecule: ribosomal RNA, 751 nt
Filed under: uncultured bacterium
Lineage: Bacteria
Description: bacterial SSU rRNA
Rfam family: Bacterial small subunit ribosomal RNA
Source: RNAcentral